This 76-nucleotide transfer RNA is filed under the name Candidatus Woesebacteria bacterium RBG_16_40_11. Its description in RNAcentral is "tRNA-Pro". It matches the Rfam family "tRNA". Rfam says of the family: Transfer RNA (tRNA) molecules are approximately 80 nucleotides in length. Lineage: Bacteria; Candidatus Woeseibacteriota. The record is from RNAcentral. RNAcentral also lists the same sequence under 3 other names.
CGGAGCGUGGCGUAGUUGGUAGCGCACUCGGAUGGGGUCCGAGAGGUCGCCGGUUCGAGCCCGGCCGCUCCGACUA